RNAcentral lists this ribosomal RNA (70 nucleotides) under Pelagodinium bei. Its description in RNAcentral is "Pelagodinium beii partial Eukaryotic large subunit ribosomal RNA". The record is from RNAcentral. Lineage: Eukaryota; Dinophyceae; Suessiales; Suessiaceae.
AGAUGUUGGCGAAAUGGUUUCAAUCGACCCGUCUUGUAACACGGACCCAGGAGUCUGACAUAUGUGCGAG